UACGGGGGGAGCAAGCGUUGUUCGGAUUUACUGGGCGUAAAGGGCGCGUAGGCGGUAGCACAAGUCAGUUGUGAAAUCUCGGAGCUUAACUUCGAAACUGCAUUCGAUACUGCCGUGCUUGAGGACUGGAGAGGAGACUGGAAUUCACGGUGUAGCGGUGAAAUGCGUAGAUAUCGUAAGGAAGACCAGUGGCGAAGGCGGGUCUCUGGACAGUUCCUGACGCUGAGGCACGAAGGUCAGGGGAGCAAACGGG
This 253-nucleotide ribosomal RNA is filed under the name uncultured bacterium. RNAcentral's name for it is "partial 16S ribosomal RNA". It matches the Rfam family "Bacterial small subunit ribosomal RNA", at positions 524 to 776 of the family's 1533-position model. The record is from RNAcentral.